AGUGGAUGGGGAGCAACCUAGUUGUGCGUGUGUAAAGGUAGUGCCAAGAAAAGCGGUGAUCAUGAUGAAAAUCAAUUCCCGGUACCCGAAACCGACACAGGUGGGCAAGUAGAGAAUACUAAGGGGCGCGAGGUAACUCUCUCCAAGGAACUCGGCAAAAUGACCCCGUAACUUAGGGAGAAGGGGUGCCACCGAGAGGUGGUCGCAGUGAAGAGGCCCAGGCGACUGUUUAGCAAAAACAUAGGUCUCUGCAAACUCGAAAGAGGAGGUAUAGGGGCUGACGCCUGCCCAGUGCCGGAAGGUUAAAGAAGUUGGUCAGUCUUAGGAUAAAGCUAGCGACUGAAGCCCCGGUGAACGGCGGCCGUAGCUAUAACGGUCCUAAGGUCGAAAUUCCUUGUCGGGUAAGUUCCGACCCGCACGAAAGGCGUAACGAUCUGGGCGCUGUCUCGGAGAGAGGCUCGGCGAAAUAGGAUUGUCUGUGAAGAUACGGACUACCUGCACCUGGACAGAAAGACCCUAUGAAGCUUUACUAUAGCUUGGAAUUGUGUUCGGGCUUCCUGUGCGCAGGAUAGGUGGGAGGCGAAGAAGGUAUUCUUGUGGGGAUACUGGAGCCAACGGUGAGAUACCACUCUCAGGAGGCUAGAAUUCUAACUUAAUUAAGGACAGUUUCAGGUGGGUAGUUUGGCUGGGGCGGUCGCCUCCAAAAAGGUAACGGAGGCGUACAAAGGUUCCCUCAGACUGGUUGGAAAUCAGUCGCAGAGUGCAAAGGCAGAAGGGAGCUUGACUGCGAGAAGUACAGUUCGAGCAGGGUGGAAACACGGUCUUAGUGAUCCGACGGUGCUGUGUGGAAGGGCCGUCGCUCAACGGAUAAAAGUUACUCUAAGGAUAACAGGCUGAUCUCCCCCAAGAGUUCACAUCGACGGGGAGGUUUGGCACCUCGAUGUCGGCUCAUCGCAACCUGGGGCGGAAGUACGUCCCAAGGGUUGGGCUGUUCGCCCAUUAAAGCGGUACGUGAGCUGGGUUCAGAACGUCGUGAGACAGUUCGGUCCAUAUCCGAUGUAGGCGUGAGAAUAUUGAGAGGAGCCUUCCUUAGUACGAGAGGACCGGGAAGGACGCACCGCUGGUGCACCUGUUAUGAUGCCAAUUGUAAACGCAGGGUAGCCAAGUGCGGAGAGGAUAACCGCUGAAAGCAUCUAAGUGGGAAGCCCACCUCAAGAUGAGUAUUCUGGUGUAAGGUCACGGGAAGACGACCCGUAAAUAGGCACGAGGUGGAAGUGCAGAGAUGUAUGAAGCCGAAGUGUACUAAUAGACCGUCGGCUUGACC
RNAcentral lists this ribosomal RNA (1324 nucleotides) under metagenome. RNAcentral's name for it is "bacterial LSU rRNA". It matches the Rfam family "Bacterial large subunit ribosomal RNA", at positions 1561 to 2925 of the family's 2925-position model. The record is from RNAcentral.